RNAcentral lists this transfer RNA (71 nucleotides) under Marmota monax (woodchuck). Its description in RNAcentral is "tRNA.Ala". It matches the Rfam family "tRNA". From Rfam's summary of the family: Transfer RNA (tRNA) molecules are approximately 80 nucleotides in length. Their secondary structure includes four short double-helical elements and three loops (D, anti-codon, and T loops). Lineage: Eukaryota; Metazoa; Chordata; Mammalia; Rodentia; Sciuridae. The record is from RNAcentral.
GGGGUUGUAGCUCAGUGGUAGAGCCCUUGCUUUGCAUGCAUGAGGCCCUGGGUUCCAUCCUCAGCGCCACA